RNAcentral lists this non-coding RNA (79 nucleotides) under Herbaspirillum seropedicae SmR1. The record is from RNAcentral. Lineage: Bacteria; Pseudomonadati; Pseudomonadota; Betaproteobacteria; Burkholderiales; Oxalobacteraceae.
AAUGGUGUAUGCGGGCAUCCGCGCAACUUGAAGGCAAACAGCGUUUUGGACGGGGGUUCGAUUCCCCCCACCUCCACCA